UGGGGAAUAUUGGACAAUGGGCGCAAGCCUGAUCCAGCCAUGCCGCGUGUGUGAAGAAGGUCUUCGGAUUGUAAAGCACUUUAAGUUGGGAGGAAGGGCAGUAACCUAAUACGUUGCUGUCUUGACGUUACCGACAGAAUAAGCACCGGCUAACUCUGUGCCAGCAGCCGCGGUAAUACAGAGGGUGCAAGCGUUAAUCGGAAUUACUGGGCGUAAAGCGCGCGUAGGUGGUUUGUUAAGUUGGAUGUGAAAUCCCCGGGCUCAACCUGGGAACUGCAUUCAAAACUGACAAGCUAGAGUAUGGUAGAGGGUGGUGGAAUUUCCUGUGUAGCGGUGAAAUGCGUAGAUAUAGGAAGGAACACCAGUGGCGAAGGCGACCACCUGGACUGAUACUGACACUGAGGUGCGAAAGCGUGGGGAGCAAACAGGAUUAGAUACCCGGGUAGUCCCUGAGCGGGCUGGCAAGGCGCAU
Molecule: ribosomal RNA, 472 nt
Filed under: uncultured bacterium
Lineage: Bacteria
Description: bacterial SSU rRNA
Rfam family: Bacterial small subunit ribosomal RNA
Source: RNAcentral